AGAGUUUGAUCCUGGCUCAGGAUGAACGCUAGCGGCAGGCUUAAUACAUGCAAGUCGAGGGGCAGCAUAAAUAGCAAUAUUUGAUGGCGACCGGCAAACGGGUGCGGAACACGUACAGAACCUUCCUUCGAGCGGGGAAUAGCCCGAAGAAAUUCGGAUUAAUACCCCAUAGUAUUAUGAAGUGGCAUCACUUUAUAAUUAAAGAUUUAUCACUUGAAGAUGGCUGUGCGCCUGAUUAGGUAGUUGGCGGGGUAACGGCCCACCAAGCCUUCGAUCAGUAACUGGUGUGAGAGCACGACCAGUCACACGGGCACUGAGACACGGGCCCGACUCCUACGGGAGGCAGCAGUAAGGAAUAUUGGUCAAUGGACGCAAGUCUGAACCAGCCAUGCCGCGUGGAGGAUGAAGGUCCUCUGGAUUGUAAACUUCUUUUAUUUGGGAAGAAAAAAGAGAAUUCUUUCUCACUUGACGGUACCAGAUGAAUAAGCACCGGCUAACUCCGUGCCAGCAGCCGCGGUAAUACGGAGGGUGCAAGCGUUAUCCGGAUUUACUGGGUUUAAAGGGUGCGCAGGCGGAUAUGUAAGUCAGUGGUGAAAUCUUCCCGCUUAACGGGAAAACUGCCGUUGAUACUAUAUAUCUUGAAUGCUGUGGAGGUAAGCAGAAUAUGUCAUGUAGCGGUGAAAUGCUUAGAGAUGACAUAGAAUACCGAUUGCGAAGGCAGCUUACUACACAGAUAUUGACGCUCAUGCACGAAAGCGUGGGGAUCAAACAGGAUUAGAUACCCUUGUAGUCC
RNAcentral lists this ribosomal RNA (793 nucleotides) under uncultured bacterium. RNAcentral's name for it is "bacterial SSU rRNA". It matches the Rfam family "Bacterial small subunit ribosomal RNA", at positions 8 to 796 of the family's 1533-position model. The record is from RNAcentral.